Molecule: non-coding RNA, 106 nt
Organism: Pterulicium gracile
Lineage: Eukaryota; Fungi; Basidiomycota; Agaricomycetes; Agaricales; Pterulaceae
Source: the annotation of a GenBank genome assembly
GUCACUUUGCCGGAGUGGUUAACGGGAUCGCCUGCUAUCUGACCUACCAGCUUUGGCAUUCAGCGGUUGUGCUUUGCACGCGUGUGUUCGAAUCGCACAGGUGACG